AAUUUAUUUCUACAUACUCCUCAUAUGAAUUAAUUUACCAGUAAUGGCCUUGCUAAAUUAACUCUUUGAUUCAAAUUAUAAUUUUGGAGAUUCAAAAAGAUAUUAAACAACAUCAUUUAUGAAUAAAAAUCUUUUUUCUUUUUCCUUUCCAAACUAUAUUUUAUUUCUUUUUAUUCUAUUAUUACACAGGAGUACAUUAGUAAAUGAAGGUAGUGAGAACAGAUAUCCUUACUUUGUUUUCAACCUAAGGGAAAUUUUCAGUGUUAAAACACUGAGUAUGCUAUCUGCAGGGCUUUUGUAGAUGACUUUUAUCAGGUUAAAAUUCUAUUCCCAGUUUGCUGUGAGUUUCUAAUAUAAACAUGUGUUGAGUUUUAUCAAAUGCUUUGCAUCUACUGAGAUAAAUGAGUUUUCUCUCCUGCUUUAUUCUGUUAUUAUGUUUUAUUACAUUGGUUGAUUUUUCUGAAUAUUAAGCCAACCUUUGAGUAAACAAACCCCACUUGGUCAUAAUGUAGUAUACUUUUUAUAUAUUGGUUUUUGAUUGACAGUCUGGCAAAUCUGGCCCUGAAAUAUGAGAUUCAGUUUUACCCUGAAGAGAUUUCAAAUAUAUCUUCUGAGACUCCAGCCCCAUGGAGUUUCGAAAUACAACAAUUAUUGAGUCUUCCACUCUGAUGGAACUUUUAUCCCCUAAGUCCUCCAAAACAAUGAAGAUUUCACUCUGAUUUUUAGGUUUGCAGCCUACCUCCCUAGCCUUCUCCUCUCUUCUAGAAUUCAGUAAAUGUCCUGUUGGAAAAAUUGGUCAUGUGUUUCAAUCCUUUUGAAACUGUAGAACUUAAGUUUUAAAAUUCAGGAAGGCAAGUUUCAACUGAGGAGGAGAAUAAAUUAUGUGGCAAGGAAUCAUUGUCUAUCAGACAAUGCAGAGCUAAUACUAAUCAAUGUCUAGCUUGUAAAAUGUGUAUCUUUAAGCCAGAGAGACUAAAAGAUGGACUGAAGGAUGCCCAUCCAGGUACUAGAUUAAUUUAAAUGCUAUUGUAUCUCUGGCACUUGGUUCUAAUCGUCUCCUCUUGAACACUCAAUACCUGCAUUCAUGCUGGCUGGCCCCAGGGACUCAGAACAGCCCACUGUCCCCAGUGAAAGGAAAUGAAAAAUCGACUGAUGCUAAACAGACCUCCUUCAGCAACUACAGCCAUCUAGAGCACUAUAUCCUGCAGUGUGAUUAAUGAUUUUUCUUUCCCCUUACAUUUAAAAGCAAUGUGUUUUAGAAAGGAAAGGGGAGAAAUGGAAUGAACAAGGGGGAUGAGGAAGAGAGAAAGCAGAGAUGCAAAAUUGAAAAAAAAAAAGAGAGAAAAAUAUAUGUGAGGAGGAGAGGAGAGGGAAGAAAAGAAUUUUUCAGUAUGAAACAGAACUAGCCAGAACUGUAUAUUUUCUCCUGAAACAAAAGAUUCCUCCUCUACAUAAGAAUGACACACUCUACUGAAAACAAUAAAAGGAAAGGAAAAUUUAGAGGCUCUAUAUCACCUUAAAAUACUUCUGUUUUUAGGUCCUCUAUUCCUGACCUCAGAAAGGAAUGAGGGCUUCAUUAUCACUCUCUUUAAUUGUAUGCUAAUGGGUUUACUUUAAGAAUUUAAAUGCAUUGGGAGGAGCAAGGAACCAACAGGAAAAUUUAAAUACAUUGGGAGAGAGAAGGAAUUGACGGGAUGUGUUGUUUGACACACUGAUAUUCUUUUUCUUUCUACUUCUUCCAGGCUUCCUAUUCCAUAUACACAUACACAUAAAUACACACAUAUAUAAAUAUAUAUUGCAUGAUAUAUGUUGCAUAUAUUAUAUACGAUAUGCUUAUAUCUAGCUAGCUAGCUGUGUUUAGACAGAGCUAUAGUAUGAGGGAUAUGAGAUUGUAAUAUGUGUCACCUCAUUUAUUGAUAUAGUUGAUUUUCCAGAUCUGAUUGCCUAGGCCAGUGUCUGUUUUCUCCUUCACUUCCCCAAAUGUGUUAAGUGGCUCUGUAACAUGGAAAAACUUCUGCCAGAGACUUCUACAUUAUGAAGGCUAGUCUUUUUUUGUCAACAGCCUCAGCCUAAAGAUAUAAAGCUAUUUCCCUUCUUCAUUUUCAGUACCUACUCUGGGCAUUCAUGUACUGGAUUUUCAACAGUCUCCCAUAAUGCUUUAGAUCUCUCAUUAAUAAGGACCCCAUGUACUGAGGUCUGAAGGGUAAGUCAUGGAUGACUACUGGAAGCAUUCUGCAGAGGAAUUUGAUAGAAAGAAAAAGGGAAGGUAUUUAGGGGUGUUAUAUGCAAUUAAGAUUUGAAACAGCCUGCAGUCAAGAAUCAAACACUUAUGCACAUGAGAGAACAAGCAAGUUUGCUUGGUUGGGGUAGAAAUUAUGGGUUAAUCAUAAAUAACAACAAGAAUGUUGAAGGAUGUUGACGGACAAUCUUAAAUACCAGUAUGAAGCAUUUGUAUUUGAUUAAAAAGAAAAAGACAACAGAAAACCAUGUAAAUUUCUGAGAGCUUAUCAACAGAUCAAAGAUGAGAUUCAUGUUUACCAGUCAAAGCACUGGGGUGUAACCUGAUCAAAAUGUUUGAGAAGGAAGAGUCUUUCUACUGUAUAAAGGGCAGACAGAAGGGGCAGGCAGCUGGCAAGAGGGAUGAUUUGUAAUAUUCUAGGUGUCAUAUGAUUAGAGAAGGCUCAGACUAGACUAUAGACUAGAAAGAGUUGGAAAGGAUGGCUCUGAAAGGUUUUUCAGAUUAAAAAAAAUAAGAGGACUUAAGAGACAUACUAGCCAUGGAGGUGAUGGAGGAAGUAACCUGUAACACUCCAGGUGGUAUGCCAGAAUAGGAUGGUAGAAUGCUAUUGAUGGGGAUGGAAUGUUGGGAAGGAAUGAGGGUCCUGUCUAGGCUGCAGUAUGAGUUUCCUUGCCACCUCUUUAUUAAUGCAGGUUUUAUGACACAGGUGUAAUAAUUAAUCCAAAUGGCUAGCAGAUGUGGCUAUCCAUCUUUGGGCAUACUGGCCUCCAAACAGUCUCCCAAUCAGCAAAUUCUCAAGCAAGGCCAAAGAAAAUUAAAGAAAAUAAAUUCUGUUGAGAUAUUUAUGGAGGCCACCUGGAUUGAAAUCUGAUGGCUAAGAACUUGCCUGGAUGCCAGGCAACUAAAGAAAGGUCAGAGCCCCUGGAGCAAUAGGGCUUGGUGAGCCAAAGAACAGAAAUGGAGAAGGGGGUGGGGCGUUCAGUCACAUUCCAUCUCAAAAAGAUUAAAAAUGGAGUUUUAGUUUUCAGAAAGAAACAAUGCUAAAGUCUUUCCCUGUAUGCUCUGGAAAAAGCUACCUGUCUCUUGACAAGGGUCCCACCAUUUCCUUAAUUGUACCCUCUGCUCUAGCUGAGCCAAUCAAUCAGUGAGGAUUUUGCUUACAUAUAUGGGUCACUUCCUCUUUAUUUCUUUCUUCUAUCACUUCUUUGAUUCAUGCUUUUAAAUUAUUACCUCCCAAUAGAGACAGCUUCUAACUACUCUCCUUGCCUUCACUCUCUUCCUGCUCAUCAUAGCAAUCAUUCUGAAUUACAACUUUGAUCAUGUGGUUGCCUGUUUUAAACUCUUAUCACUUCCUCUUUACCCACUGAAUAAAAUCUAAAUGCCUUUGCCUGCUAUUAAAGUCUCUACAUAAGUUGGAUUCAAUUUGUCUUUCUAGUCUCAUUGCAUACAACCAGUACCUCAUCAACAUAAGCCUUUUGCUUCAGAUAAACUUGUUAGUCUCCAUCCUUCAAAAUAAUUAUUGCCCCUCCUUUGCUAUUGACACACUGCUUAUAUGACUGAAAACUCUUCUUUUUUCUCUCCACCUGUUCAAAACCAUAAUCUCACACCUUAAGGGCCAACUCAUAGCCUACUUCCAUUCUGUCAGAAAACAUAUCUUAACAAAUUUAAAAGAAUAAGUCACAGGAAGAAUUCUUUGACAGUAAUACAAUUAAAUUAUAAACCAAUACAAAAAAAAUAACAGCAAAAUCUUCAACUACUUGAAUGUCAAACAACAUACUUCUAAGUAAUCCAUGAGUCAAGAAGGAAAUUUCAAAAGAAUAUUUAAAGUGUUGAACUUAACAAAAUUAAAAAUACAUCAUAUAGAAUUUUGUGGGAUACAGCUAAAGCAGCACUUAUAGGAAAAUGUCUAGCAUUAAAAACUUUAUAUUAGAAAACAAAAAAGACCUCAAACCAAACUAAGUUUCCACCUGAAGAAACUGAAAAAAAGGUAAAUUCAAAGAAAGGAGAAGAAAAAUAUAAAUAAAAUUGUAAACAGAAAAACAAAAGGAAAAAAAUCAAUGAACCCAGUCUGGUUCUUCAAAAAGAACAAUAAACCAACACACCUCUAGCAAAAAUAAGAACACGAGUUACCAAUAUCAUGAAUAAAAGAAGGGAUAUCAUCAUAUACUCCACAGACAUUAAAAAUCCUACAAAUUGGAGUUCCCGUCGUGGCGCAGUGGUUAACGAAUCCGACUAGGAACCAUGAGGUUGCGGGUUCGGUCCCUGCCCUUGCUCAGUGGGUUAAGGAUCUGGUGUUGCCGUGAGCUGUGGUGUAGGUUGCAGACGCGGCUCGGAUCCCGCGUUGCUGUGGCUCUGGUGUAGGCUGGUGGCUACAGCUCCGAUUCAACCCCUAGCCUGGGAACCUCCAUAUGCCACGGGAGCGGCCCAAGAAAUAGCAACAACAACAACAACAACAACAAAAAGACAAAAAAAAAAAAUCCUACAAAUUUACACAUAAAUUCAAAAUUAUAUUCAUAAGUUCAACAGCAUAGAGGAAAUAAACCAAUUCUUCAAAAACCACUACAUUUGUUUUCUGUUGCUGUGUAAUAAAUUACAGAAACCUAGCAGCAAAAAUCAAUGAAACUUAUUAUCUGGCUGGAUCCUCUGCUUGAGAUCUCAGAAAGCUGCAAUCAAAUUAUUUUGGGUUGGUCUCAGCCUAUUGAUGGUCAUGUUAUAAACUAGAAAUGCCUGAGGGUUCUCACCUGUUCCUGUACUACUUGUGAUGAGCCCUCACAGACAUUUCCCUUUUCAGAGUUCAUUUUGUAGCUGGACCAUCCUUUGAGGUUCUUAUAAUUGCAAGACACACCUUAGCAACAACCAUCAGGGAACUUUAAUAAACAAGAUUUAUUAUUCACAGGUCCUGAAGGAUACAUGGCAUACCUAGGGCCAGAGAGGUUAUGAAUAGAGAAAGAAAAACCUAGGGUUCUGUCUUCAUUAGGAUCUAAGGCAGGGUGCAUAGUUUCACAGGUUCACUGUUUAUUGGAGAAUUUAAAAUAUAAGAGCAGAAAUUAAAGUGUAGGAAGGGGAAAAUAAGGAGUCAGUCAAUUGGUCAGUUAUGUAAGGCAACCAGAGCUUUCUAAAAAGGAGAAAUUCAUGGGUGGGGUGGCCUGGCUCUUUAUCUAGUUAGGUAGCUGGCAAUGUAUUCAUUUGAGAUGAAUUUCUUUGAAGUGGCUGCCUCAACAAUCAAAGGCCCUUAAUUAUAAUCUAAAAAGCUAAUUAUCAGGUACUUACAUUACACAAAAUGUUAUUCACAUCUGGAUGCUUGAAUUUGAGGAAGAAUUUGCUUCCAUUUCCCUGCACAUUCAAGUUAUUGACAGAAUUUAUUUCCUUGCAGCUGCAUGACUGACAGUUCUGGUUCUUUGAUAACUGUUGGCUGGGGGCCAUUUUGGGGUCUGAGAUUCCCCUGCGAUUCCUAGAGGCUGCCUGCAGUUCCUUGCCACAUUGACUUCUCCAACAUGGACACUUACAUAAGUCAGCACUAAAGGAAAUUCUCUAGAAAAAGCCUACUACGAUGUAGUCAUAUAACAAUGUAAUCAUAGGAUUGAUAAUCCUUGCCACACAAGAUAACUUAAUUAUGCUAAUUAUGCACGUGAUAGCUCAUCACAUUUACUGUAUUCUAUUGUUUAGAUGCAAGACAGAGGUUCUGCCCAAACUUAAAGGAAGUGGAUUACAUAAAGGUGUGAAUACCAGGAGGCAAGCAGCACUGGGGCCACCUUGUAGUCUGUCUGACCCAACAAUUCUAAGGUACUAAAACUCAUUCAAGAUGAAAUAACCUAAACAGACCUCCAAAUAAUUUAAAAAUGGAAUUUGUAGUUUAAAAUCUUUUAGUAAAGAAAGCUCCAGGCCCAAAUGAUUUUAUUGUGGAACAUUAUGGAACACUGAUAUUAAACAUU
This 6171-nucleotide long non-coding RNA is filed under the name Sus scrofa (pig). RNAcentral describes it as "lncRNA (ENSSSCG00000054292.1)". The record is from RNAcentral. Lineage: Eukaryota; Metazoa; Chordata; Mammalia; Artiodactyla; Suidae.